CCUACGGGAGGCAGCAGUGAGGAAUAUUGGUCAAUGGGCGGAAGCCUGAACCAGCCAAGUAGCGUGCAGGAUGACGGCCCUACGGGUUGUAAACUGCUUUUAUACGGGAAUAACGCGCCUUACGUGUAGGGCUUUGCAUGUACCGUAUGAAUAAGGACCGGCUAAUGCUGUGCCAGCAGCCGCGGUAAUACGGAAGGUCCGGGCGUUAUCCGGAUUUAUUGGGUUUAAAGGGAGCGUAGGCCGCAUGUCAAGCGUGCUGUGAAAUGUCCGGGCUCAACCCGGGCCGUGCAGCGGGAACUGGCGGGCUUGAGUCCGCGGAAAGCAGGCGGAAUUCGUCGUGUAGCGGUGGAAUGCUUAGAUAUGACGAAGAACCCCGAUUGCGAAGGCAGCUUGCUGCAGCGGAACUGACGCUGAGGCUCGAAAGCGCGGGUAUCGAACAGGAUUAGAUACCCCUGUAGUC
RNAcentral lists this ribosomal RNA (460 nucleotides) under uncultured bacterium. RNAcentral's name for it is "partial 16S ribosomal RNA". It matches the Rfam family "Bacterial small subunit ribosomal RNA", at positions 338 to 795 of the family's 1533-position model. The record is from RNAcentral.